Molecule: ribosomal RNA, 398 nt
Filed under: uncultured Choreotrichida
Lineage: Eukaryota; Ciliophora; Spirotrichea
Description: partial small subunit ribosomal RNA
Rfam family: Eukaryotic small subunit ribosomal RNA
Source: RNAcentral
GCUUGUCUCAAAGAUUAAGCCAUGCAUGUCUUAGUGUAAAUAACUCUUAUGAAACUGCGAAUGGCUCAUUAAAUCAGUUAUCAAAUACGUGAUGGUCGCCUACUACAUGGAUAACCGUAGUAAUUCUAGAGCUAAUACAUGCUGGUGUGCCUGACUUUUCGGAAGGGCGGUAUUUAUUAGAUAACGAACCAAUAUUCCUCUGGUCUAUUGUGGUGAAUCAUAAUAACUGAUCGAAUCGCAAAGCCUUUGGCUGCGAUAUGUCAUUCAAGUUUCUGCCCCAUCAGCUUUCGAUGGUAGUGUAUUGGACUACCAUGGCUUUAACGGGUAACGAAUUGUUAGGGCAAGAUUUCGGAGAGGGAGCCUGAGAAACGGCUACCACAUCCAAGGAAGGCAGCAGG